Drosophila willistoni is the source of this 154-nucleotide long non-coding RNA. RefSeq lists it as uncharacterized. The record is from RefSeq and is a predicted model, not a curated record. NCBI's taxonomy places the organism in Eukaryota, Metazoa, Arthropoda, Insecta, Diptera, Drosophilidae. The transcript is spliced from 2 exons.
GGUCCGACAGAGAAACAAAAAGGAGAAAGAAAAAACGCGCGCGAAAAAAUCUUUAAUUAUUUUUCAUGAGUCAUCUGUAAUCAUUAAACAUUAACUAAAUAUUAUUGAGUCCAAUUUACAGUGCAGUUAAUGUGCAAUGUUUAAGACAAGAGCA